RNAcentral lists this non-coding RNA (26 nucleotides) under Homo sapiens (human). Lineage: Eukaryota; Metazoa; Chordata; Mammalia; Primates; Hominidae. The record is from RNAcentral.
UUACAAUGCAGGGAUCUGGUUGAUGA